This 497-nucleotide ribosomal RNA is filed under the name uncultured bacterium. RNAcentral describes it as "partial 16S ribosomal RNA". It matches the Rfam family "Bacterial small subunit ribosomal RNA", at positions 28 to 507 of the family's 1533-position model. The record is from RNAcentral.
GACGAACGCUGGCGGCGUGCCUAAUACAUGCAAGUUGAGCGCUGAAGGUUGGUACUUGUACCAACUGGAUGAGCAGCGCACGGGUGAGUAACGCGUGGGGAAUCUGCCUUUGAGCGGGGGACAACAUUUGGAAACGAAUGCUAAUACCGCAUAAAAACUUUAAACACAAGGUUUAAGUGUGAAAGAUGCAAUUGCAUCACUCAAAGAUGAUCCCGCGUUGUAUUAGCUAGUUGGUGAGGUAAAGGCUCACCAAGGCGAUGAUACAUAGCCGACCUGAGAGGGUGGUCGGCCACAUUGGGACUGGGACACGGCCCAAACUCCUACGGGAGGCAGCAGUAGGGAAUCUUCGGCAAUGGGCGAAAGUCUGACCGAGCAACGCCGCGGGAGGGAAGAAGGUUUUCGGAUCGUAAAACUCUGUUGGUAGAGAAGAACGUUGGUGAGAGUGGAAAGCUCAUCAAGUGACGGUAACUACCCAGAAAGGGGCGGCUAACUACGUG